UGUACACACCGCCCGUCACACCAUGGGAGCGGGUUCUGCCAGAAGUAGUUAGCCUAACCGUAAGGAGGGCGAUUACCACGGCAGGGUUCGUGACUGGGGUGAAGUCGUAACAAGGUAGCCGUAUCGGAAGGUGCGGCUGGAUCACCUCCUUUCUGGAAAUAUGCAGUCAAAUUCUUACGCCCAUUCUUAUCGGCUGUUGUGUUAAACAACAGCAAUGUCACCGAGUUAAUUCAAGUUAAUUAGCAUUAAUUGGUGCCGCCUUCGAGUUUAUUAAUGAGAGUUAAUUAAUGAGAGGGUCUGUAGCUCAGCUGGUUAGAGCAUCGUCUUGAUAAGGCGGGGGUCGUUGGUUCGAGUCCAACCAGACCCACCAAUUGGGCUUAGGUGGAGAGCGAGAAGCGAAAAAGAAAUCCCGGGGGAUUAGCUCAGCUGGGAGAGCACCUGCUUUGCAAGCAGGGGGUCGACGGUUCGAUCCCGUCAUCCUCCACCAAAAUAUUCAGCAGAUUGAUUAAUUCAGUUUGUUGAAAAACUUAUCAGAAGCAAAUUAAAUUAAUGCAAAGCAUGUUCGCGACAAGUCGCGAGGAUGCUUUGUAUUGAUUGAUUCAUUUCAAUUAUUGGCUGUUCUUUAAAAAUUUAUAGAGUUAAAUUAGCGUCGUUAGCGGAAACUGCACAUUCGUAAAGGUUUAGUGCAGACCGUGCCGCUAGCGACAUAGUAGUAAAUAAUUUUUUGAUUGCGUCAAAAGAAACUUUUAAUUUCGAUAGUAAUUUAUUGAAUAAUUGGAAGAUACGGCAUAACGCGUGUGGUGUAAGACCACACAAUCAUUCCUUGAAGAUAGCUUAUGAGAAAUCAAAGUUAUAGGGUCAAGCGAAUAAGAGCAUAUGGUGGAUGCCUAGGCAAUGAUAGGCGACGAAAGACGUGAUAGCCUGCGAUAAGCUUCGGGGAGCUGGCAAAUUAGCUUUGAUCCGGAGAUUUCUGAAUGGGGAAACCCACCCUUCGGGGUAACGCUGACUGAAUACAUAGGUCUGCGUGGCGAACCGGGUGAACUGAAACAUCUCAGUAGCUCGAGGAAAAGACAUCAACCGAGAUUCCGAGAGUAGUGGCGAGCGAAA
Molecule: unclassified non-coding RNA, 1107 nt
Filed under: Polaromonas sp. E21S
Lineage: Bacteria; Pseudomonadati; Pseudomonadota; Betaproteobacteria; Burkholderiales; Comamonadaceae
Description: partial contains 16S ribosomal RNA, 16S-23S ribosomal RNA intergenic spacer, and 23S ribosomal RNA
Rfam family: Bacterial large subunit ribosomal RNA (bases 857-1107)
Source: RNAcentral